Molecule: long non-coding RNA, 215 nt
Organism: Suricata suricatta (meerkat)
Lineage: Eukaryota; Metazoa; Chordata; Mammalia; Carnivora; Herpestidae
Exons: 3
Source: RefSeq, a predicted model, not a curated record
GGUUUAAAGGAUUCCAGGUUUGAUAUGCUGAGUAUUUUCUUCAGUUCCCUUCAUGACAAAAUCAAAGAAUUGCUUCAUGGAGGCAAGGAUUACUUUUUCAAGUUUCAAGAGGAGUUACUUUCUCCAGGACCUGCUUCCAUUCUGCCGGACCCUGUGUCUAUCUUUUUUAUUUGCUACUCUUCUUUAGUCCAUUACAACACAGUGCUGCCUGGAGA